CUACGGGGGGCUGCAGUGGGGAAUAUUGGACAAUUGGGGAAACCCUGAUCCAGCAAUGCCGCGUGUGUGAAGAAGGCCUGCGGGUUGUAAAGCACUUUCGGUUGGGAGGACUGCUUCUAGCACUAAUAUUGUUGGAAGUUGACGUUACCUUCAGAAGAAGCACCGGCUAACUCCGUGCCAGCAGCCGCGGGUAAUACGGAGGGUGCAAGCGUUAAUCGGAAUUACUGGGCGUAAAGCGCGCGUAGGCGGCUAGAUCAGUCGGGUGUGAAAGCCCCGGGCUUAACCUGGGAACUGCAUCCGAUACUGUCUAGCUUGAGUACAGGAGAGGAGAGUGGAAUUCCACAUGUAGCGGUGAAAUGCGUAGAUAUGUGGAGGAACACCAAUGGCGAAGGCAGCUCUCUGGCCUGAUACUGACGCUGAGGUGCGAAAGCGUGGGGAGCAAACAGGAUUAGAUACCCUCGUAGUC
Molecule: ribosomal RNA, 466 nt
Filed under: uncultured bacterium
Lineage: Bacteria
Description: partial 16S ribosomal RNA
Rfam family: Bacterial small subunit ribosomal RNA
Source: RNAcentral